Molecule: ribosomal RNA, 378 nt
Filed under: uncultured bacterium
Lineage: Bacteria
Description: partial 16S ribosomal RNA
Rfam family: Bacterial small subunit ribosomal RNA
Source: RNAcentral
CCUACGGGAGGCAGCAGUGGGGAAUAUUGCUCAAUGGGGGAAACCCUGAAGCAGCAACGCCGCGUGGGUGAUGAAGGUUUUAGGUUUGUAAACCUCUUUUAUCAGGGAAGAUAAUGACGGUACCUGACUAAUAAGCCCCGGCUAACUACGUGCCAGCAGCCGCGGUAAUACGUAGGGUGCAAGCGUUACCCGGAGUCACUGGGCGUAAAGGGUGCGCAGACGGGUUUGGAAGUCAGGAGUGAAAGCCUGUAGCCUAACCCCAGAACUGCAGUGGAAACUGUGAAGCGAGAGUGCAGGAGAGGUAAGCGGAAUUCUUGGUGUAGCGGUGAAAUGCUUAGAUAUGAAGAAGAAUACCGAUUGCGAAGGCAGCUUGCUGGA